GGUUCCCUGGGGUGUUCGCCAGCAGGCUUAUGUCCCUGAGCCGAUGCUUUUUGAAAAAGGGGAUCACUGGCCCGUCAUGAGCAAGCCCGACACGCAUCGGGAAGCCUACGACGGAUACCAAUUGCUCCCCGCCUUGAACCAGUGGGUUCAAGGGCUACGGCCACGCAGCGGCAUCUUGGGGAACCA
RNAcentral lists this non-coding RNA (186 nucleotides) under Idiomarina tyrosinivorans. RNAcentral describes it as "6S / SsrS RNA". It matches the Rfam family "6S / SsrS RNA". From Rfam's summary of the family: E. coli 6S RNA was the first non coding RNA to be sequenced, but its function was unknown until recently. It consists of 184 nucleotides that fold into an extended hairpin structure with a large single-stranded internal bulge. The 6S RNA specifically associates with RNA polymerase holoenzyme containing the sigma70 specificity factor. Lineage: Bacteria; Pseudomonadati; Pseudomonadota; Gammaproteobacteria; Alteromonadales; Idiomarinaceae. The record is from Rfam by way of RNAcentral.